RNAcentral lists this transfer RNA (60 nucleotides) under Cavia porcellus (domestic guinea pig). It matches the Rfam family "tRNA", at positions 6 to 65 of the family's 71-position model. Rfam says of the family: Transfer RNA (tRNA) molecules are approximately 80 nucleotides in length. Their secondary structure includes four short double-helical elements and three loops (D, anti-codon, and T loops). Further hydrogen bonds mediate the characteristic L-shaped molecular structure. tRNAs have two regions of fundamental functional importance: the anti-codon, which is responsible for specific mRNA codon recognition, and the 3' end, to which the tRNAs corresponding amino acid is attached (by aminoacyl-tRNA synthetases). tRNAs cope with the degeneracy of the genetic code in two manners: having more than one tRNA (with a specific anti-codon) for a particular amino acid; and 'wobble' base-pairing, i.e. permitting non-standard base-pairing at the 3rd anti-codon position. Lineage: Eukaryota; Metazoa; Chordata; Mammalia; Rodentia; Caviidae. The record is from Rfam by way of RNAcentral.
UGUAGCUUAGUGGUAGAGCACUUGCCUAGUAUGCAUGAAGCCCUGAGUUCCAUCUCAGCA